UACGAAGGGGGCUAGCGUUGUUCGGAAUUACUGGGCGUAAAGGGCGCGUAGGCUGUGCUGUAAGUCAGGCGUGAAAGCCCCGGGCUCAACCUGGGAAUUGCGCUUGAUACUGCGGCGCUGGAAGGUGGGAGAGGAUGGCGGAAUUCCCAGUGUAGAGGUGAAAUUCGUAGAUAUUGGGAAGAACACCGGUGGCGAAGGCGGCCAUCUGGCCCAUUUU
RNAcentral lists this ribosomal RNA (217 nucleotides) under uncultured bacterium. RNAcentral's name for it is "partial 16S ribosomal RNA". It matches the Rfam family "Bacterial small subunit ribosomal RNA", at positions 524 to 740 of the family's 1533-position model. The record is from RNAcentral.